Molecule: ribosomal RNA, 796 nt
Filed under: uncultured bacterium
Lineage: Bacteria
Description: bacterial SSU rRNA
Rfam family: Bacterial small subunit ribosomal RNA
Source: RNAcentral
GCAAGUUGAGCGCUGAAGGUUGGUACUUGUACCAACUGGAUGAGCAGCCCCUUGGUGAGUAACGCGUGGGGAAUCUGCCUUUGAGCGGGCCAUAACAUUUGGAAACGAAUGCUAAUACCGCAUAAAAACUUUAAACACAAGUUUUAAGUUUGAAAGAUGCAAUUGCAUCACUCAAAGAUGAUCCCGCGUUGUAUUAGCUAGUUGGUGAGGUAAAGGCUCACCAAGGCGAUGAUACAUAGCCGACCUGAGAGGGUGAUCGGCCACAUUGGGACUGAGACACGGCCCAAACUCCUACGGGAGGCAGCAGUAGGGAAUCUUCGGCAAUGGACGAAAGUCUGACCGAGCAACGCCGCGUGAGUGAAGAAGGUUUUCGGAUCGUAAAACUCUGUUGGUAGAGAAGAACGUUGGUGAGAGUGGAAAGCUCAUCAAGUGACGGUAACUACCCAGAAAGGGACGGCUAACUACGUGCCAGCAGCCGCGGUAAUACGUAGGUCCCGAGCGUUGUCCGGAUUUAUUGGGCGUAAAGCGAGCGCAGGUGGUUUAUUAAGUCUGGUGUAAAAGGCAGUGGCUCAACCAUUGUAUGCAUUGGAAACUGGUAGACUUGAGUGCAGGAGAGGAGAGUGGAAUUCCAUGUGUAGCGGUGAAAUGCGUAGAUAUAUGGAGGAACACCGGUGGCGAAAGCGGCUCUCUGGCCUGUAACUGACACUGAGGCUCGAAAGCGUGGGGAGCAAACAGGAUUAGAUACUCUGGUAGUCCACGCCGUAAACGAUGAGUGCUAGAUGUAGGGAGCUAUAAG